UACGUAGGUGGCAAGCGUUGUCCGGAAUUAUUGGGCGUAAAGCGCGCGCAGGCGGUUCCUUAAGUCUGAUGUGAAAUCCCACGGCUCAACCGUGGAAGUGCACCCGAAACUGCGCAGCUAGAGUCCUGGAGAGGAAGGCGGAAUACUUGGUGUAGAGGUGAAAUUCGUAGAUAUCAAGUGGAACACCGGUGGCGAAGGCGGCCUUCUGGACAGUGACUGACGCUGAGACGCGAAAGCGUGGGGAGCAAACAGG
RNAcentral lists this ribosomal RNA (253 nucleotides) under uncultured bacterium. RNAcentral describes it as "partial 16S ribosomal RNA". It matches the Rfam family "Bacterial small subunit ribosomal RNA", at positions 524 to 776 of the family's 1533-position model. The record is from RNAcentral.